This is a long non-coding RNA of Oryzias melastigma (Indian medaka), 1209 nucleotides long. RefSeq lists it as uncharacterized. The transcript has 3 exons. Lineage: Eukaryota; Metazoa; Chordata; Actinopteri; Beloniformes; Adrianichthyidae. The record is from RefSeq and is a predicted model, not a curated record.
UUAAGGUCAUGAUUAAUUAAUCUCACAAAAAAUGAACUGUAUGAAAAUAAUUCUCUUAACAUUUUGUAUCAUUAGCAGAUGUGUUUAAAACAUUUUUUUUUGUCAUUUUACAAAAAAGUUUCUUGUAAAGAACAGCACAGUCAGCAGUUUUGUCUUCUUACAGAUCUUCUUGAGAAGAUAUCCAAUUCAGUAUGUUUUAAACUUCAUGCUGCCCCUUCUCUUCUUUGUGUGUCUGGACAUCGCCUCCUUCCUGCUGUCAGACACUGGGGGCGAGAAGAUUGGCUUCAAGGUCACUGUUCUACUGUCUGUGACUUUGAUGCAGAUUCUUCUCAAUGAAAUUCUGCCCCCUUCCACAGGAGAUGUUCCUCUUUUAGGUGAAGACAAUUUUGUUUUUUCUUGUUUGACGAGAGGAUGUAAACACAGGAUUCAUGUUGAUUUCACUGAUUCUGUCCCUCACAGUCUUCUUCUGCGUGUUGAUCUUUACCAUGAUGCUGCUAAGCCUUUUGGAAACCAUUUUUGUCAAGUAUUUAAUAGACAAAGACCAAACGUGUAAAGCCAAGAAAAAAGGAAACCAGAAACUAAAUGAGAAUCCAGAAGAAAAAUCAAGUCCACUCCAAUGCUGCUUUAUAGGAAUGAAGAAACCAAAUUGCUGUGCAUCAGCUGAAGAUUCCGAAGAAGACCAGUCUCUUCCUAAAGAGGAUAGCAGCGGCCCACAAUCUGAGACGUCUCUCAUAAUGGAAAAGGCCCUUGAAGAGCUUAGUGAAAUAAGGAAAUCCAUCUCUCUUCUUUGCAGCAGCACAGAAGAUGAGAAGCCCGGUUGUUGGUCCAGAGUGGCUGACAUAAUCAACAAAGUCUUUGCUGUUUCCUACAUUAUAGUGGUUAUUCUGUUUAUGAAGCUAUUUUUUGAGGAAUGGAUAUAUAAUUAUAAUUAUAUUUAAUGGUGUCUGUGGCAGACAUGAAAUCCUGUCCACCUUCAUUCACAUUUGUCAUGGGAUGGAUAACACGUCAUUGUAGGGCUUGGGUCAUCUGGACCCCAUAGAUAGCAUAAGAGUUAAGUAGAUGAUAGGCUGUUAGAAAUGCAUGUUGCCCAAGCACCAAGAUGUUGUAUAAAUAACUGCAAGAAGACAAUUUACACACAUAAAGUAAAAUAUAUCCACCUUGUCACAAAAAUGUUUAAAAAAAUUAAAGUUCCAAAGUGAUUUUCAGAGA